GGUCUCUGGGCUGUUCCCCGACCCACAUGGUGAAUCUCUGAGGCAAGAAAAUCGGCCAAUAAGCGCAGGACCCACCAAGGUAGAGGAGGAACUUUGUCACAAUAGGUAGAGAUACACUCCUAUGAUGCUAUCCUACUUGUGAGAUUGACAAGUAGUUAGGAGUGAUGAGUGUGUAUUGGGUAAAUAAGAAAAGCAAAGCUGUAAUGCAAGGCCUACAGGCUAAGGCUUGUAAGAGUUUAGCUUAAUCAUGCUAGGCCUCAGGCUUAAGGAGGCAUGAUAUACGUAGGUGACCUAGGACUAACCCUGUGCCUGUCAAAUUACAAGAUUAUGUAAAGAAUGUGCCAAUAGGUGAUGGUCAGACCACAAGAUGUGAUUGUAACAUUAUGAAAAGUUCUACUCUUACCGCAGGUUACCAUGGAAACAUGUUUACAUAGAUACUAAUGAGAUGAAGGGGAUCAAAGGUGACAACCUAUGAAAAGUGGGGCACCCCAAAAUUUAUGGGGUGUGAAAGUACAGAGGAUGUAAUGGUGUGAAGCUCUUGUCAAACCAGGAGCAGGGGAAAGAGAGUUGGUUGGCUGGAUGGGGUGUCAAUCACCCAGAGAGACAGGAGAGGGACUUCCUUACCCUGCAAAGGGUCCUGGGUAGAGAAGCCCUUUAUAAAUUGCCUUGGCUUCUAAUUGAGAGUGAGAGAAUUACAGGAGGGAAGACCUGGUGAUGGAUUCUAGGCCUGUUGGAGGUAUGUUAUGGAAGGUAUUCCUUUCUGUUUGGAUUUAUUUAUUUAAAAUAAAUCCAGGCUUUUUUGUUUUUAAAUUUGUCCAAAGUGGGUCUUGCUGCUUAUCGGACAGCCUUGCCGCUGCACUCUGCCACAGAGGAAUUGACCCCUGGUCUUCCAUAUCCCAGGCUAAGAGUGCUGCUGAAUAUAUGCAGGCCUCUAAAUCCCUUAUUGUGCUGUCUUUAGAAACAGCUUGAGAAGUUCAGAACCAUGAUUCCAUUUGAUCAGAUGACAUUUGAGGACUUGAAUAAGGUCUUCCCUGAAACGAAACUGGACAAGGAGAAAUAUCCAUAUUGGCCACAUAAACCUGCUGAAGACCUGUAAAUCUGUCUGAAAGCAGUUUCUGGUGACUGUCAAAUUCUCUAGAAUCUUUUAAAUAAAGUAAUUGUACAGGAUUUUUUUGCUUCA
This is a non-coding RNA of Chrysemys picta bellii (western painted turtle), 1180 nucleotides long. The record is from RefSeq and is a predicted model, not a curated record. Lineage: Eukaryota; Metazoa; Chordata; Testudines; Emydidae.